Molecule: long non-coding RNA, 878 nt
Organism: Melopsittacus undulatus (budgerigar)
Lineage: Eukaryota; Metazoa; Chordata; Aves; Psittaciformes; Psittaculidae
Exons: 3
Source: RefSeq, a predicted model, not a curated record
ACGGGCCUUACAGAGCGCCCUCACGGUUUCCCCUAUGACCAUGCUCUGCGCUCUGCGUCACCUCCGUGCCACAGCCAGAACUACUGCAGGCGGAAGCAGUGGGAGAUUGACACCGCCCCCACCCCCUCCCUUCCAGUCAGCAACGCGGUGGCUACGUGACGCACAGAAUCACUCAGCACAGAAGGCAGACGUGGGAGCUGGAAAAUGGCCGCCUGGCCUGGGAGCUCAGCUGCCCCAGGGAGCCAUCGCUGGAGCCAAAGACAAGCCCUACUGUAGCAGAAGUGAUUUCAACCAGACUCCACAUGGAUGAGACCCUGCAGAGCUCAGUCCCUCCUUGCAGAAGACAUUGUCGUAGAGGACCUAAUGAUCUUGAACAGCUGGGAGCAACUGGAAACACCACCACACUGGCCAGACCAUCUGCCCGGAGAACCUACAAACAGGAUCAACAGCAUCUAGUGAUGUAGCCAUCAACUGUGGCAUAACCAGGCUCACUUGAAAGAGAAAGCACAAAAUAAUUAGGUCUGCCUAUGAGAAGUACUCAUUACAAGAUUCUACACAGGAAAGAUACACUGGCCACCUGUGUUAAAGGGAUGGAAGACAAUGGUGGAUGAGGCUGAAAGAGAUGUCUUGAUUCUAUGAUUCUAUGAUUUGCUGAAAAACCAAGGCCUUUUACCAAGUUCCAUCACUAAAGUGUCACUGCAAAUUAUAUAGCUCAUGGUGUUGAAUCAGGCAAAGGGCCAAAUUGCAGAGACUGGGGGGAUCCCAAUUUUGGACAUCAUUAAGCUCCAGAUAUGACUAUACUCAGGGCUUUGAUCAGAACUUCUCCUUAGUGAAACCUUGCUUCCAGAGUCAGACUCCAGCUUCCCAGGUUCUUUCAG